CCCACAUAUAAAGUAGAGGAAGAUGGGCAUGGAUGUUAGCUAAGGGCCAAUCUUCCUUUAAAAAUACACCAAUAAGAGAAUGCAAAUGAAUUUUUAAGGUGGGAAAAAAUAUUUGUAACACAUAACUAAAAAGAUGCUCCUGUACAGAAUAUAUAAACAAUUUUCCUUCAGUUCAACAAUAAACGAUUCAGAUCACUCAAUAAAGAAAAAAAAUGGGCAGGCUCAAGUAGAUGGCGCAGCAUUUAAGUUCCCACUUUCCACCUCGGUGGCCCAGGGUUUGCUGGUUCAGAUCCCGGGUACAGAUAUGGCACCGCUCAUGAGGCCAUGCUGUGGUAGGAGUCCCAUAUGUAAAGUAGAGGAAGAUGGGCACAGAUGUUAGCUCAGGGCCAGUCUUCCUCAGCAUAAAAGAGGAGGAUUGGCAGCAGAUGUUAGCUGAGGGCUGAUCUUCCUCCAAAAAACAAUAAAUAAAUAAAAAAGAAUUUAAAAAAAAAAGAGAAGAUAUCCAAAUGGCCAAUAAAUAUAUGAAAAAUGACCCAAUUUCACUGAAGAUCAAGGCAACGGGAAUUAAAGUCAUAAUGAGAUACAUUACAAAACACCAAGUAGCUAAAAUUAGAAAGACAAUAUUAAAUGUUGCAAGAAUAUGGAGCAAUAGGAACUCUCAUAUACUGAUGGUGAGAAUGUGAAUAUGAGUAGUACAACUACUUUGAAAAAUGGAAUACCAUUUAUUAAUUUGAACAUAUGCUUAUCUUACGGCCCAGCAGUUCCACUCAUAGGCAUAUGAUCAACUCGUACAUAUGCACAAGAACAUAUACAAAAUGUUUAUAGCAGCAUUAUUCACAAUUACUGAAACUAGAAAUUGGUCUGUAAUACAUUGUAAAUUACCCAUACUACACAACAAUGAAUAUAAACGAAAACUAGGUCUAUGCAAUAAUGUGGAUGAAUUUUAAUAACAUUAUUUUCGAGUGAAUAAAUCAACAUUUAGUAUUACAUACUCCACGAUUCCAUUCACACAAAGCUCACAAAAGCCAACACUAAUCUGUGGUGUUAGAGGUCAGGAUAGCAGUCACUUUUGGUGAUGAAGAAGAAAGGCCUGAGUGAGAGGGCAGAGGAAGGAUUUAGUGGUGCUGGGAAUAGUCUAAUGUUCUGUGUCUAAACUUUUGUGGUGGUCCCAGGGGUGUUUGCUUUGGGAGAAUUCACUGAGCUAGACACUUAUGAUUUGCACAUGUUUCUGUAUGUGUUAUAUUUCAAUAAAAAUGUUAUAAGAACAACUUUGUACUGUCUUACUCUCUUGAUGGACUACAUUAUCUCCCUCCUUAGCUUCAUCGCUAAAUGUCUGGAAAGAAUAGUCUAUCCUUGACUUCUCUAUCUUUCUCUCUUUCUCUCUCUCUUUCUGUCUCUCUUUUAAUCCCACUCAUUCUCAGCCCAUUACAAUCUGGCUUCUGCCCUACCACUCUAAAAGUGCUUUCACCAAAGUCACUAAUGACCUCCUAAUUAUCAAUUGUGUAUUUUCAGUCCUGUCCUGCUUGACCUCUCCACGCCGUACAACACUGCUGACCAGCUCUCAUUUGUAAUUCUCUCUUCUCUUGACCUCUUCCUCAUUCUUCUCUUUCCUUGUGGACUGUUUCAAUUGUGUCCCUCCCCUUGCUUGGUCCUCAAAUACAUAUUUUCUAGUUGUACUUGUUCAGGUUGCUCUAAAAUCAGAAUUACAAACUGGCUGUAGAUAUGUUUUUUGUAGUUCUAAGUGCUUUCAGCAAAUUGUAAAUUAUUUGCCAUUGCAUAAAAAUCAGUAUAUUUCACAUAAAAACCAAGAUUUCUAACAUUAGAAAAUUAAAAUUUUGGUAACCCUGGAUUCACCUUAUUGAGGGGGCAAGAAUCUUCUGGAUGCAAAUAGUAGGACAAGACCUACACUUACCUCCUCUUUCUUUGUUUAUUUCCACUGAGGAAGAUUAGCCCUGUGCUAACAUCUGUUGCCAAUCUUCCUCUACUUUAUAUGUGGGUCUCUGCCACAGCAUGGCCGACAAGUUGUGUAGGUCUGCAUCCAGGACCCGAACCUGUGAACCGGGGCUGCUGAAGUGGAGUGCACCAAAUUCAACCACUGCACCAUGGGAUGGCCCCUUACCUCUACUUUUUACAGCAUGCUUGGACUCCCUAGGACACUUAAAUUUCUCACCACUGUUAUACAAGUCUUUCUAGAGCAAAGCUUCUCAAACGGUACCAAGGAAUCACCCGAGAAAAUUCUUCAAAUGCUUCUGACCCACCUCCAGGAAACCAAUAUGAUGGGAAUUGCAUGGGGUCCAGGAAAUGAUAAUUAAAAAAAUUCCAAGUUACUCUGAUGCGAGUUGUCCAUGGAAGACACUAUUUUGGGGGAUUUCUUUAAACUUUUAUGUCUUGAACUCCUUCAACUUCAGUUCUUGGUCUUAAGUACCUCACUGUCCACCAAAGAGACAGGUGUACAAACAAGCAAUCAUAAUAUGUGUGAUCCUCCCUCCUGGGCAAGCGGAGGCCUGAGGUUCCCAUCGCUGUGAAAGUCUACAGGCUAAGUGAGGUGUUUUGGAUGUUAGGUCAAAGGACUAUCUUGCUAAACAGGAAAGCCAUUCAACAGUUAAUCAAAAGAAUUAGGCAGAGAGAGAGGUACCAAGCCAAAGGGAUAAAGAUAGAGAAACCAGAGUAUAGUGUGGGAGAGGAGCAAGGGGAGAGGGGAUUAUUGCAGCUCUCUGAGGUACAUGAAGGUAAUUGCCUUUGAAAUACAGCUUUUGGCAUUAGCAGAGAGGGAGGAGAUAAAGCAUUGUCUCACAGUGGAUCAUAGCAUGACAAAUGUUAUACUAGAGUAACAUAUUGUGUCUGUAAAAUGAGGUUCAAUCAACUCCAGAGUCUGAAAUUAGUCUUGGUUCAUUCAGUGAACCAAUUAGGUCAGUAAAAUUUGUUUUGGCAUCAAUCUGUAACUCUGCUGCCCAGCAGCAGUGUCGGUAUACAGUGUACGGUGCUUUUCACCUGUAGCUGUGGAGCUGGAUGGCUGUUUUGAUCUUGUUGGGAAGAUCAGGGAACUGAUCAGAACCCUGGGAACUUGGUGGGUCAUUAAGGUAGAAAGAAAGGAGGGUAAAAGGAUUGAGAGUAAUGGUGAGAGAUUUUAGAGAUAGACCACACUUCACUGCUUAAUAGUGAAGCAAGAAGAAACUGAUUGACUACGAAGGAAGGGGUCAAGGAAGUGGAGGCCUUGGUGACAUUAGAAAACAGGUGGGUAGGGAUGAGAGAAAAGGAGAGCUUGAUGAAGUGAACUUAUGGUGAAAGAGGGAGAUGUCGGAGAUUAAGAUCUCAGAAACCAAUGCAUCUAGGGUAACAAUAAUAUUUCAGUAG
RNAcentral lists this long non-coding RNA (3354 nucleotides) under Equus caballus (horse). RNAcentral describes it as "lncRNA (ENSECAG00000060185.1)". Lineage: Eukaryota; Metazoa; Chordata; Mammalia; Perissodactyla; Equidae. The record is from RNAcentral.